This 245-nucleotide long non-coding RNA is filed under the name Cucumis sativus (cucumber). RNAcentral's name for it is "long non-coding RNA (CSAT_LNC003036)". The record is from RNAcentral. Lineage: Eukaryota; Viridiplantae; Streptophyta; Magnoliopsida; Cucurbitales; Cucurbitaceae.
AGGGGAAGCAGAAGAUUGGUGUUCUAUAUUCUGGUUUGCUUAUUAGUAUUUUGUUGUUUGGAAUUUUGGAUUAGGAGGUUUUCUUUGUUUGAUGUUUGUGAAUUAUAUGUAACGUGACUCAUUUUCUGAGGUUCACAGUUUGCUUAUGUUGUAAGUUGUGUUUGAAUUAUCAAUAUAAUAGAAACACUACAUCAGUGUUCUAUCAGGAUGUCAUCCUUGGAAUGCAAUGGCUGCACACGUUGGGG